UCGUCCAGUUUGUUGCGAGCGCUAUCCCCUCACCUGCUUUGUUCCUUGACUUCCUUCGCCCACGCCGCCGCCGUUCCAUCGUCUGCGAUGCGUCGCCGCUGUCCUCCGUCCCGUCGGCGAGCUUCUGCUGCGCGUCUGCCUCCGCAUCGGUGCCCUCCACUCGCCCUGUUCUCUUCCUCUGCAGGCCCCUUUAAUGUCGUGUCUUGCAGCUUUCCUCCAUUGCGGCUGCGCCGGCCGCCCAUGCCGUCGACUUCUCGCCAGCCGUCCUCCUCCUGCAUACGCCUCCAUGUCCUUGCAGCUGUACCGCGUGUUCAUCCCCAUUCCGUAACUGAAGCUGAAACUGCCCCUGUAAUUGACCUGAUAAAGGUCCAUUGUCUACCUCCUGUAUGCCUCUAUCCUCUAUUUUGUGAAUCCCCUUGGCACCGAUCAUUGAGAGACACAUGGAGAGGUAAAACUUAAUCAGUUAGGUUGUUAUGUGUGUUGAAUUAUUAGCUUGGUCAAUAAGAAAGCUAAUUGAAACUCAGUUUCUUCGGGAUGCAAGAUAAUUACUGGUUGAAAUCGCUUUCCUAAGAAAGUAAUCAAUAUACGGCAUUGGUCGAACAAAAUGAGCAGCAAGCCAGCAACGACCCAAUACCCCAGGAGUGAUUUUUGUUGUUCUUGAUGGGCCACUUAUUUUAUCAAACCAUUGUUGGUAUAGGAGGAUAAUUUACUAUGAUUCAGUUGCUAAGAAUGCUCUGAUGUGUAGUUGACGUGGGAAGACAAGUUUGUUUAACAAAAGGACAAGAUUCUGGUAAUCUGGAAGUAUGAAAUGCACCGAACGCCAACAUAGCAGAACCUGUAUUCCAUAGGGUUCAGGAUGGUCUAACAAGCCCGAGGCUUUGAGCUCCACGGAAACUAUUUCUAUGGUGAAAACUGAAAAGAGUGAGAAGUCAGCCCUUGGAGACAUGGAACACACAUAAAUUAUUUGAAGAUCAUAUUAUUCGGGAGACCAAUAAUAGUUAUGUCAAUCUGCCUCGAUUAUUAUGAGUACUUGGGUAUUAUGACUUAAUGUUGCACGGCCACUCUAUUGUCAUACAUGAGAUACAUGGGAUUUAUAAACAUAUGUUCUGGCUAGGCAGAACAAAGUUUGAUUGUUCCAAGUGGUACAAAUAACUAGAUUUUUUCAAGAUAUUUCUAUAAUUCUUUUGUCAUGAUGCCCUACUGUUUUUUUAACUUAAGA
Long non-coding RNA from Aegilops tauschii subsp. strangulata, 1219 nucleotides. RefSeq lists it as uncharacterized. Lineage: Eukaryota; Viridiplantae; Streptophyta; Magnoliopsida; Poales; Poaceae. The record is from RefSeq and is a predicted model, not a curated record.